RNAcentral lists this long non-coding RNA (4381 nucleotides) under Sus scrofa (pig). RNAcentral describes it as "lncRNA (ENSSSCG00000059751.1)". The record is from RNAcentral. Lineage: Eukaryota; Metazoa; Chordata; Mammalia; Artiodactyla; Suidae.
CAACACUCCAGGCCUUGGUGGAGUUUCCAAAGCCAUCCUAUUUUUCAACUCCAACUGCACCUCCCUCCUAACAGUUCUGAGACAUACAAUUAGUAAUGCUUUCUUCUAACUUUUGCUUGCUCAAGAUUUUUCUCUCCUAGUUCUCAUUCAACUGAACAUUUUCUUCCCUAAUUCCCCUGUCGUGCUCAUGAACUAGAGAUCUGUGGGUUGGCUUCCAGAGUCCUCUUCCUGUUUAGGGCGAUUAUACGGUAUCUGGUUUGGGGCAGCAUCUGUAGUGUAAGUUGGCACCCCUCAGAAUGUUGACAGGGACCUCAUUCUUAUCACUACUUUUCUUACUGGCAGAGAAAAUGAAUUUGGCCAGAGAGCUGCAGACUUGCUACUGUAGUACAGAUAUGAAAAAGCCUAGUUUGAACCUCUCUGUUAAUACAGAUAAUUCCAUGCAAUGAAUAUUAUUAUACUGGGUCUUUGCUCAUAGGAGUUUUUUUUGUUGUUUUUUUUUUUUGUCUUUCUGCUAUUUCUUGGGCUGCUCCCUCGGCAUAAGGAGGUUCCCAGGCUAGGGGUCUAAUCGGAGCUGUAGCCACCAGCCUAUGCCAGAGCCACAGCAACACGGGAUCCGAGCCUCGUCUGCAACACAGCUCACGGCAACGCCGGAUCGUUAACCCACUGAGCAAGGGCAGGGACCGAACCCGAAACCUCAUGGUUCCUAGUUGGAUUUCGUUAACCACUGCGCCACGACAGGAACUCCUGUUCAUAGGAGUUUAACAGCUAAAAGUACACACAGGAGGAGUUUCCACUGUGGUUCAGUGGGUUAAGAACCGAACUGGUAUCCAUGAGGAUUAGGGUUUGAUCCCUGGCCUUGCUCAGCGGGUUAAGGAUCUGGCAUUGCCAUGAGCUGUGGUAUAGGUCGCAGAUGUGGCUCAGAUCCCAAGUUGCUGUGGCUGUGGUGUAGGCCAGAGGCUACAGCUCUGAUUCCCUGGGAACCUCUAUAUACCACGAAUGCAGCCCUAAAAAGAUAAAAGAUGAAAAAAUUAAAAAAAAAAUUUUUAAUUCCUCUUCUUAAGAUGUGUUAAGGACCCAACCCUGGGUCAGUGAGGAUGUGGGUUUGAUUCCUGGCCUUGCUCAGUGGAUUAAGGAUCUGGUAUUGCCAAGCUGUAGCAUAGUUCGCAGACAGGACUCAGAUCUGGCGUUGCUGUGGCUGUUGUGUAGGCUGGCAGCUGAAGCUCCAAUUCAACCCCUAGCCUGGGAACGUCCAUAUGCUGCAGGAGCGCCCUAAAAAGACAAAAAAAAAAAAAAAAAAAAAAAGUUACCAUCUUUCACCUGAUGGGGCCUUGCUUAGUUCCUGCAGAAGAACUCAAAGAUUCUGUCAUGCGUGUUCCUUGAGAGGGAACUAGGAUUCCCUCUCCAAAGCUGCACUGUGGGGUUCCUGACUGCUCCACCUUGUUUCAGCAUUCCCGCUCUUGUUUGAUUACGAACUGUUUGAAUCUGCCCGUUGGAACCCGAGGGAGGUGAAGGAGGCUGCAGCCCUUUCUCUGCAAAAUAAGGAAUCAGGGAAGGGGGACAAGACAGAAAAGAUUCAUACAAGGAAGGCCCUCACAGGGUCCUGCUCCAUUUCACUUCCACCCUGAUUCUCAGAGCUUUGGGGACAAGUGGAAGAAAGAAAAGGGUGUAGUCAUAUAUGCAGGGGCUUGCAGAAUUUGCUUAACAGUAGAAAGACCAGUGAGGAGCCUAGGGACUCUCUCUUAAAGGACUAGACCAGGGUUUUUCACCCCUGGCACUACUGACUUUUUGACCCUGUAAGUUGAUAGGUUGGGGGGGCCUCUAGAGAAAGAGCACCAGGAGUGGCUUUGUUGAUACAAAAAUCCAUUUUGGCCUAAGUCAUUUUGUGAUCUAAGCCUGGCAAGGGCAAUGCUUGUCCUUGUACAGGUCUCAGUAAUUAAUGAUCUUAAGGGAGAGAAUGCAGAAACGAGGGAGGAGCAGUCAGGAAACAACAGUGCAGCCUUGGGGCAGGGUCCUGUUCCUCAAGGGAUGUACAUAUACAAUAACACACUUUUGAGUUUGCAGGAAGUAAGGUCCCCACCCAGAUGAAAGACUGAAUGAUGAUGUUGACUUUCCAGACUUCAAUCAACUAUAGCUUGUUGACUCUGUCAGCCUUUGAGUCAAUUCUGUGCUGCGUUAUGCUCUACUCAAGCCCCCUCCUGAAUAUGCUUAAAGCUUCCCCAGUUUUGCUGUUUGCUGAGACAUUGCUUCAGGAAAGAUCCUGGUGUUCUCCUUACUUGCUGCAAGUAAUAAAUCUUUCCUUCUGAUUUUUGGCUUGGUUCUAUCUAUUGGGUGGAGACCCGCUGAGAGGUGGAGUGGACCCAGUUUUUGGAUAACAGCCUCCUUCACCAUGGGGCCUUCUUUGUGCGUCCCUGGCUUCCAUCCACUAGAUGCCAGUAGCUCCUCUACCUAAUUGUGAAAAGAUCUUAUGUCUCCUGGGGCCAAAAUCUCUCCCACCUUGAGAACCAGUGCUCCAGACACUUCUAUGGGAUAGAUUACUCACUGAACAUUAACUCAGUGGAGAAAUGAUCACAGGAGGAUGCUAGCUUACUCUCCUGUGGGAGACAGUCAUCAAGCCACCUGCAGGGUCUUGUCCACAUGCACCCAUUUUUUUUUUCUUCCCCCCUCCCAUUAUGCAACACGCACAUGAACACAGUCUCACAGGAAAACAUCCACAUAAUAUAUUCUCCUUAUAGCUUCCAACCUAAGGGAAUCCCUAAAUUUAUUUACUUUGCUUCUUAGGGGUGCACCUGCAGCAUAGGGAGGUUCUCAGGCUAGGGGUCAAAUCAGAGCUACAGCUACUGGCCUACAUUAUAGCCACAGCAACAUAGGAUCAGAGCCGCAUUUGCGACCUACACCACAGCUCACAGCAACGCCAGAUCCUUAGCCCACUGAGUGAGGCCAGAGAUCCAACCCGAAACCUCAUGGUUCCCAGUCAGAUUCGUUUCCACUGUGUCACAACAGGAACUCUGGGAAUCUCUAAAUUUUAACAUAGAAAUCAGUUUUGUUUUUUUCCUUUUUAAAUAAAUGGGAAUUCACUGUAUGUUUUGUUCAACUUGAUAUUUCUUCAGUUAACAAUCCAAUUAAAAAUGGGAGACUGGGAGUUCUUGGUAACCACCUGGCUCAGUGGUAACAAACCCGAACAGUAUCCAUGACUUGGGUUCAAUCCACGGCCAUGCUCAGUGGGUUAAAGAUCUGGCGUUGCUACAUGCUGUGGUGUAAGUUGCAGACUGGACUCGGAUCCCACGUUGCUGUGGCUGUGGUGUAGGCUGACAGCUGCAGCUCCAAUUUGACCCCUACCUAGGAACUUCCAUAUGUCAUGGGUGUGGUCCUAAAGAGACCCCCCCAAAAAAACCCCGCGAACAAUCAAAUAAACAAAAAAACUGGAGACCAGCUUCAUAGCUAUAUAGUUCACUUUUUCGCCCCCUAUGGCCACACCUGUGGCAUAUGGAUGUUCCCAGGCUAGGGGUCAAAUCGAAACUGCAGCUGAGGCCUAUACCACAGCCAUAGCAAUGGCGCAUCGGAGCUGCAUCUGUGACUCGUGGGUGGCAAUGCCUUAUCCUUAACCUGCAUCCUCAUGGGCACUAUGUCAGGUUCUUAACCCACAAAGCCACAACAGGAACUCCAUUUUUUUUUUGGCUUUUCUAGGGCUGCACUUGCAGCAUAUGGAGGUUCCCAUGCUAGGGGUCUAACCGGAGCUGUAGCCUCUGGUCUACGCCAGAGCCACAGCAACUCGGGAUCUUCGACCUACACCACAGCUCAUGGCAACACUGGAUCCUUAACCCACUGAUCGAGGCCAGGGAUCAAACCCGCAACCUCAUGGUUCCUAGUCGGAUUCAUUAACCACUGAGUCACAACGGGACUCUGGAACUCCUCUCUUUUAUAUUUUUAUUUAUUUUUUAUUCCUUGGCCACACCUGCAGCAUUUGGAAGUUUCCAGGCCAGGGCUGGAAACCUACACCACAGUAGCUAUCCAAGACACUGCAGGCAAUGCUGGACCUUUAACCUGCUGUGCCAGGAGAGAACUCCUAUCUUGCUCUCCUUCAAAAUGCUACAUAAUAUUCUAUAUUGUCGGCAUGUCACUGAUUAAUCUGUUUGCAAACUGAUAAGCAACUACAUUUUCAGUUUCUAAAUAUCCUAACAAAGCUGACAGUGCGUAUAAUGAACACUCUAGAAAUGUGUCUAUUUUGCAAGAAGGGUGGUAUAGACAAUUUUAUCUUUUUUUUUUUAGGGCUGCACCUGUGGCAUAUGGAGGUUCCCAGGAUAGGGGUCAAAUUGAGGCUGUAGCUGUGGCCUACACCACAGCCAUGGCAACACCAGAUCCAAGCCUCGUCUGCGACCUACAU